UUGUUUGCUUGUUCGUUCCUUUGCGCCUACUAUCAGGUUCAUAUUUUCUGAUAACGCGUCAAUGGGUCGAAAGGUAUGUAAUUAUAUGACGCUCGUCGUACUGCUCACUUUCGAUACUCCCUGACAUCGUUGUUAUAGCCUUUACCUUUCUCGAACCAUUCCUGUUGAGCGUCAGUUGCUAGCAAGUGCUCUAUAGACGAGGGCUGCUAGCAGCAAGGAAAGCCGUUUGGUCAAUUCUGUCCCGUACGGCCUUGUUUCAUGGGAUUGUAUUUGGUCUCUAUUCUUUCGUUAGCUACAACAAACGUUACGCUGGCCUACCAGCACAACGAUAGCGCCACGAGUACUAGAGAAUUCCAACGGCCAUUGAGACCGGUCGUCGCUGACAUCUGAAUCACUUCACAGCACAUCAGUUCAUUGGGCGCGGUAUAAACUGUUGGCUACGACGUCGUAAAAUUGUAAGUCAGUUUGUCAGGCAGCCAGCCUUUUGCCCUAAUCAGCGGCUCUGAUGCCCUCGGCCUAUACCUCCUUAGACGAUUUGCAUUUACUUCACAGCGCCCCCUUCUCCCCUCACACAGCGUCGUCAUUUCAGCCUCACCAAUGUACCUUUGGCCAUUUGGCGUUUAGCUGGAUCGCUACCGCCGCCGCUAACUGCCCCUCGCAUUGUUUUGGCACAGUGAACGUCAUAAUGACGCCAAAGACAAGCAGGCUUUAAUAACGACGAUUCUGCUGAUGCUUCUGCUUUGCUGUUGUUGUUGUUAAUGGGUGCAGUUGACGUCUGCUCAAUUCAGUUCUGUUGUUAAAUCGCUGCUUAUGAACCGCAAAGCACUCACGUCGAAGAAGUUACCAAAGCGGAGAGAUAUGAAAGAAAGGAAAGGAGCAACACGGGAUGGCUGGGUUGGCGAGGACUGUGAAAGCUAUGGACAUUUCCGGGCUACGUAAGCAGAUGAGCGGAUCCCGGAGAAGGAGGGCUUUGGAACAGAUUUUCUUGAGUUUGACGUCAGAUAUGGAGAUAGAUACCCUAAACUACAAAAUCUGCAAAAUCCUGUUCAUCGGGUUGGCGGAACUUUUGCGAGUUUCUUAAUCAGAGAUGAAAUACACCUACAACUAUGACACAGCGUCUAGCUCCGCAUUACGGAAGAGUGCCGUUGUAAAGAUAGUCAUGAAGGUACAUCCACCGUCAAAAACCUCUCGUUCAAGCCGACUAUUUUGGCAACUUUCGACGCCGCUGACGUGACGACAGGCCGCGCAAAUGCCCAGGUGCUUUACAACAGCAUCAGCGAUAACAACAAUAAAUGAAGACGCAACAAGAAAGCGGUAUCGACUGC
This is an RNA transcript of Varroa destructor (honeybee mite), 1325 nucleotides long. RefSeq lists it as uncharacterized. The record is from RefSeq and is a predicted model, not a curated record. Lineage: Eukaryota; Metazoa; Arthropoda; Arachnida; Mesostigmata; Varroidae.